GCGCAGCAGGCGCGAAACCUUUACACUGCACGGAAGUGCGAUAAGGGAAUCCCAAGUGUCAAUACUUUGUAUUGACUUUUGCCAAGAGUAAAAAUCUUGGAGAAUAAGUGAUGGGUAAGACUGGUGCCAGCCGCCGCGGUAACACCAGCGUCACUAGUGGUGUCCAUUUUUAUUGGGUCUAAAGUGUCCGUAGCUUGGUAUGUAAAUCCUCUGUGAAAUCGUUGGGCUUAACCUAACGAAUGGCAGGGGAAACUGCAAAUCUUGAGACCGGGAGGAGCUAGAGGUAUGCUUAGGGUAGCGGUAAAAUGUGAUAAUCCUGAGUAGACCACCUGUGGCGAAGGCGUCUAGCUAGAACGGGUCUGACAGUGAGGGACGAAGGCUAGGGGAGCGAUCCGGAUUAGAUACCCGAGUAGUCCUAGCAGUAAACGCUGCGAGUUAGGUGUUGCAUAACCUCCAGGGUUGUGCAGUAUCGUAGGGAAGCCGUUAAACUCGCCACCUGGGGAGUACGGCCGCAAGGUUGAAACU
RNAcentral lists this ribosomal RNA (525 nucleotides) under uncultured archaeon. RNAcentral's name for it is "bacterial SSU rRNA". It matches the Rfam family "Archaeal small subunit ribosomal RNA", at positions 330 to 856 of the family's 1478-position model. The record is from RNAcentral.